UCCUAUGUAGGUGAUUAGUAUGUUUGGAUGCAGGAUGACUUACUAGAGAUAUUAUCAAAAAUCAGGAUGUAUAAUGUGAUCCAUGUAUUCUAGCUCACAGACAAAUGGCUAAGCAUCAAACUAGGACCUCUCUUAGGAUCAUAAAUCUUCCUGGCGAUCGUCAUGGUUUGUAGUACAAUUUCUGAUGACAAGGAUCUUCAGAAGAGGCAACAACAUAGCAUACUUGUGUGUCUGCUCAAGCAGAUAACAUGACUUAUUCAAGUCUAAUAUUAGAAUUUCAGAUACCAGUGGAAAAUAGAGGAAUCUUAGAAACUCAUGCUUUUGUGUAACUGAUGAUUUUAUUUUUAUUUUUUGAUGAUCUACAAUGAAGGAAGAUAGCUCCUUAUAUAGAGGAUGAGACUCCUUCAAUCUUCAGACAAACAACACAAUAAUAUAGAAUUUGAAAAGCAUCAUGAUUUGAGUACAAUGAUUAUACAAACAAACAAACAGCUUUUUGAUUAAGAGGCCACUUUUGAUAGGGAUGGAAUCUAUUGUAUAAACUUUUGAUAAAGAAAAAAAUACUUUAUCAAUUAUUUAACAAUACAAUUGAAAACUCACACAAAAUGAUAAAAUACUUUUAUUAUGCUAGUUGGAUGAUUUUUGUGAUUCACGACUCACGAGAUACCAAGAUUUUGUGGUCAUUGCUAGUUCAUCUGAGUUUUCAGAAUCUAACGAUAGUCCAGCUUGCAUAUUUUUCAUCUUGUUAUUUUCUUCUUGUAGCCAAUGUUCUAAUUUUUCAAAAUUUUCUGGAUUAUAAGGGUCAAAAAGGUAAGACCAGGGAUCUUGAGGAUUUUGAAGCUGGGAUGUUGCUAGCUCGCAUUAGCAUCAACUUGAACCUUCAUAUGAUACAUUUUCUUUUCCUUUUGAUUUUUUCCUCCUUAACUGUGGAUUGUCUCUUCCAGUGUAGAAUAUACUAGUAAGGAUGUUUUCAUUCAACACUUUUCAUAACCUUUCUCUGAGUUGUUGUAGCUCAAGGGCGUUUUCUGAGUAUUUGGAUGUGUGACCUAAGCUUUAUGUUGGCCUUCGUGGAUACAAUUGAUUUCAAAAGUUGUCAAGGUGAUAAUCAUUAGGAGGAACAUAGUUCAUUGCCAAUAUUUUCCAUGGUUAGGCAAAAUUUUUGAAUGUAUUAUUUGGUUGAAUUCUGUCAUUUUUCUUCCGGAAUGUUCUAAAUUUUUAAAGAUAUUGUUUGGUUGAAUUCUGACAUAUUGUCUGACAACCAUGUAUUGGUAUUUCAGCAUGAGUUCUUUUGUAACAACCCAGGCUUUGUGUCGAAGCUUUAUGCACUGUCCACUAUAGGAAAGCUUGAGUCCAUCUUAUUCCCUUACAGAUUUCUAUCAUAUUCCCAGGAUUCGAACACAUGACCUUUCCUUAAGAGAGAUUUAAGUUGAGUCCUGGUACUAAUUGAAAGUGAACGGCUUCGACGCAGAGAUUGGAUCAUUACACUUUUGAUCUUGAAUGGAUUGUCCUGUUCCUCAUCAGGUUUUGAAGUUCAAGAGAUAAAUUUUAGAUUGGAGGAUUUUGUGAGGAUAUAGUUGAGGGCGGAUUGAGCAUCGGAUGAUAGCAAUCUGUAAUUGAAUGCGAGGUAUUGUUCUGGAGAAUAAAUCGACUAAGAUAUUAGAUUUGCCUUUGAUAUGUUUGACUUCAAAGUUAAAAUUGAAAAAUCAUUCUACCCAUUCCAAGAGCUGUGAGUUUGGAAUUUGUUUCUUUAUGAAGUUCACAUUUGAGGAAAUGCCAUAAUGUCCAUUUCAACUAGAAAUUUAUGACCGUUGGAAUUUCUCAGUUUCUCUUUUCACUGCAAGGAUUUCUUUGAAUUUAGAGUCGUAAUAUUUUUCAGAUUCCUUGAACAUAGCACUUUUUGUACCAUAAAUUCUCCUUUCACCAUCCUUUUGUUCUAGAAUUACUGCGUAUAUAUUAUUUGCAUCUGUCUGUAAAAUUCUCCUUCCCUCAGUAAGGACUUGUAAUUCUAAAAGAUUAUUGAUUCUGUUUUUGAUCUUCUUAAUAACCUGAGUCUGUUUGUAUGACCACUGUAGAUUAUUGUUCUUCAACAUGUCUUGUAGAUGUCUUAUAAUGGGGGCUAGUUGCUUAAAGAAGUUAAUCUUAUAAUUCACAAUCCCAAUAAACUAUUGGACUUGUUGUCUAGUCAAAUUUUCACCAGGAAACUUGAGAA
RNAcentral lists this long non-coding RNA (2206 nucleotides) under Olea europaea (common olive). RNAcentral describes it as "long non-coding RNA (OEUR_LNC000248)". The record is from RNAcentral. Lineage: Eukaryota; Viridiplantae; Streptophyta; Magnoliopsida; Lamiales; Oleaceae.